This 27-nucleotide non-coding RNA is filed under the name Homo sapiens (human). Lineage: Eukaryota; Metazoa; Chordata; Mammalia; Primates; Hominidae. The record is from RNAcentral.
UGCUAAACAUGGCCAGAUGCCUGGAGG